This is a long non-coding RNA of Bufo gargarizans (Asiatic toad), 415 nucleotides long. RefSeq lists it as uncharacterized. NCBI's taxonomy places the organism in Eukaryota, Metazoa, Chordata, Amphibia, Anura, Bufonidae. The transcript has 3 exons. The record is from RefSeq and is a predicted model, not a curated record.
UGAAAGUCCAACAGAGGAGGAAGUCGGGGGUGGAGGACAGCAAACGGGUUCCCGAGUCUCCACCAGAAUGGAUGAGGAGGACGUCGGCAUUUUUUUAUUUUUUAUUGACAAUGACCACCUCAUCCAGAUGGUGGAGGAAUGACCACCGUUGUGAGACCACACCGACAGCCGCCACGCAUACCACCAAGCAACCCGGCUCCUCUGGCACGAGAUUUGUGAGGCCCAAAUUGGGACGACCUCGGAGACAGGCAACGGGAUGAGUGCUGGUUGACAAUCCUGGUUCGGUGGCGGUCAAUGAGGGACCGCUACAAGAAAGAUUAUAACGAGGAACUUCGGCACCCAAGUGGUUCUGGAGGAGCCUCAAGGCAUACAUAUCGCUAUUCUGCCACCUUGGGGUUCCUACGAAGAACCCUAG